CGGACGGGUGAGUAACGCGUGGGUAACCUGCCUUGUACUGGGGGGACAACAGUUAGAAAUGACUGCUAAUACCGCAUAAGCGCACAGUAUCGCAUGAUACAGUGUGAAAAACUCCGGUGGUACAAGAUGGACCCGCGUCUGAUUAGCUAGUUGGUAAGGUAACGGCUUACCAAGGCGACGAUCAGUAGCCGACCUGAGAGGGUGACCGGCCACAUUGGGACUGAGACACGGCCCAA
RNAcentral lists this ribosomal RNA (236 nucleotides) under uncultured bacterium. RNAcentral describes it as "partial 16S ribosomal RNA". It matches the Rfam family "Bacterial small subunit ribosomal RNA", at positions 99 to 334 of the family's 1533-position model. The record is from RNAcentral.